This 1682-nucleotide ribosomal RNA is filed under the name Listeria monocytogenes. RNAcentral's name for it is "partial 23S ribosomal RNA". It matches the Rfam family "Bacterial large subunit ribosomal RNA", at positions 447 to 2127 of the family's 2925-position model. Lineage: Bacteria; Bacillati; Bacillota; Bacilli; Caryophanales; Listeriaceae. The record is from RNAcentral.
GGAGGACCAUCUCCCAAGGCUAAAUACUCCCUAGUGACCGAUAGUGAACCAGUACCGUGAGGGAAAGGUGAAAAGCACCCCGGAAGGGGAGUGAAACAGUUCCUGAAACCGUGUGCCUACAAGUAGUUAGAGCCCGUUAAUGGGUGAUAGCGUGCCUUUUGUAGAAUGAACCGGCGAGUUACGAUUUGUUGCAAGGUUAAGCGGAAAAAGCGGAGCCGUAGCGAAAGCGAGUCUGAAUAGGGCGCAUAAGUAACAGGUCGUAGACCCGAAACCAGGUGAUCUACCCAUGUCCAGGAUGAAGGUAAGGUAAUACUUACUGGAGGUCCGAACCCACGCACGUUGAAAAGUGCGGGGAUGAGGUGUGGGUAGCGGAGAAAUUCCAAUCGAACUUGGAGAUAGCUGGUUCUCUCCGAAAUAGCUUUAGGGCUAGCCUCGAGGUAAAGAGUCAUGGAGGUAGAGCACUGUUUGGACUAGGGGCCCUUCUCGGGUUACCGAAUUCAGAUAAACUCCGAAUGCCAUGUACUUAUACUCGGGAGUCAGACUGCGAGUGAUAAGAUCCGUAGUCGAAAGGGAAACAGCCCAGACCACCAGUUAAGGUCCCCAAAUAUAUGUUAAGUGGAAAAGGAUGUGGGGUUGCUUAGACAACCAGGAUGUUGGCUUAGAAGCAGCCACCAUUGAAAGAGUGCGUAAUAGCUCACUGGUCGAGUGACCCCGCGCCGAAAAUGUACCGGGGCUAAACAUAUUACCGAAACUGUGGAUGAACCUCUUUAGAGGUUCGUGGUAGGAGAGCGUUCUAAGGGCGGUGAAGUCAGACCGGAAGGACUGGUGGAGCGCUUAGAAGUGAGAAUGCCGGUAUGAGUAGCGAAAGAAGGGUGAGAAUCCCUUCCACCGAAUAUCUAAGGUUUCCUGAGGAAGGCUCGUCCGCUCAGGGUUAGUCGGGACCUAAGCCGAGGCCGAUAGGCGUAGGCGAUGGACAACAGGUAGAGAUUCCUGUACCAGUGCUAAUUGUUUAACCGAUGGGGUGACACAGAAGGAUAGGGAAUCGCACGAAUGGAAAUGUGCGUCCAAGCAGUGAGUGUGAGAAGUAGGCAAAUCCGCUUCUCGCGAAGCAUGAGCUGUGAUGGGGAAGGAAAUUAAGUACGGAAGUUCCUGAUUUCACGCUGUCAAGAAAAGCCUCUAGGAAGAGUAGUACUGCCCGUACCGCAAACCGACACAGGUAGAUGAGGAGAGAAUCCUAAGGUGAGCGAGAGAACUCUCGUUAAGGAACUCGGCAAAAUGACCCCGUAACUUCGGGAGAAGGGGUGCUCUAUUAGGGUGCAAGCCCGAGAGAGCCGCAGUGAAUAGGCCCAGGCGACUGUUUAGCAAAAACACAGGUCUCUGCAAAACCGUAAGGUGACGUAUAGGGGCUGACGCCUGCCCGGUGCUGGAAGGUUAAGAGGAGUGCUUAGCUUCGGCGAAGGUACGAAUUGAAGCCCCAGUAAACGGCGGCCGUAACUAUAACGGUCCUAAGGUAGCGAAAUUCCUUGUCGGGUAAGUUCCGACCCGCACGAAAGGCGCAACGAUCUGGGCACUGUCUCAACGAGAGACUCGGUGAAAUUAUAGUACCUGUGAAGAUGCAGGUUACCCGCGACAGGACGGAAAGACCCCGUGGAGCUUUACUGCAACCUGAUAUGGAAUGUUUG